Molecule: ribosomal RNA, 270 nt
Filed under: uncultured archaeon
Lineage: Archaea
Description: partial 16S ribosomal RNA
Rfam family: Archaeal small subunit ribosomal RNA
Source: RNAcentral
CUGCAGCUCGAGUGGUGAUCCUUAUUAUUGGGCCUAAAACGUUCGUAGCCGGUUUAGUAAAUGCCUGGGUAAAUUGUGUAGCUUAACUAUACGACUUCCGGGUAGACUGCUAAACUUGGGACCGGGAGAGGCUAGAGGUACUCCUGGGGUAGAGGUGAAAUUCUGUAAUCCUAGGGGGACCACCAGUGGCGAAGGCGUCUAGCUAGAACGGGUCUGACGGUGAGGGACGAAGCCCUGGGGCGCGAACCGGAUUAGAUACCCGAGUAGUCC